UUAUCAGCCUGAAAACCACAAUGAUUACCACCACCGGGACCACAGGUUGCGGGGCGGGCUGACGCAUAUAUAAAACAGAGAAAAAAGCCCGCAUCCAAAUCAGAUGCGGGCUUUUUUUUG
Regulatory RNA element from Photorhabdus luminescens, 120 nucleotides. Lineage: Bacteria; Pseudomonadati; Pseudomonadota; Gammaproteobacteria; Enterobacterales; Morganellaceae. The record is from Rfam.